This is a long non-coding RNA of Neogobius melanostomus (round goby), 1573 nucleotides long. The record is from Ensembl. Lineage: Eukaryota; Metazoa; Chordata; Actinopteri; Gobiiformes; Gobiidae.
CCACUGUGAUGUUCUUGGAAACGAGGAGGAUGUAAGAUUGUUUUUCGCAGAUAUGCUAGAAUGCGUUAACUCGCUGCAAAACGUAAAUAGUGAGUUCAAUGAAGAAAGGCUUUACAAGCAGCUGGAUGACCACGCACGGACAUUAGCCUCGUUUAUGACCGCUGUGUCAAGACCAGAGCAACGUGAUGUGCUUAACACCUUGACUUCACUGUACAGUUGUUUUUUGCACCUUCUGCGUGAUUAUGAUGAAAACCGGCAGUUGUCCCAGGUAACAACAUCUCAGCAGCAACCUCCCACUAUCACCACUGGCACUCCUGGAAGAUCGAGAAACAACAUAAGUGUUGAACAGAUCUCUCAUUGCCUUUCUCUUGGGAUGACAUGGAGCAGGAUAUCAUCCUGCUUUGGGAUCAGCAGGAGAACUUUGCAACGGCAUAGAAAUUCUCUUGGCCUUGAACCUCUGACCUAUAAUUCUAUGUCUAAAGACGAAUUAGAUGGGAUAGUGACUUCAAUUUUGCAGACCGCAACAAAUGCAGGUUAAAACUUUUGUAUUUUGAUGAAAACAGACUAUAUAAAUCACAAGACAACAUAAACAUGGAUUGAAGGAAUUUGAAUGUGCAUACAUACUUAUGAGUUAGGGUGAAGGCAAGUUUUGUUGUGAUUGAUGUGCAACAAGCACAUGCAUGUGUUUGUGCAUUUGUGGGCGGGGGUAAAAGUGCGUUUCUUUUAUUUUCCUCAACUUUGUUAAUUUUGUCAUUAAUAUCAUUAUUACCAUCCCAAUUAUCACUGACUAUUUCGCUCCCUUCCUCUGUCUAGGUGAAGCUUAUGUUUUGGGAGGCUUGCUGGCUCGUGGCCUAAGGAUUCAGCGGUGGAGAGUGAGGCUUAGUCUAAACACAGUUGACCCUAUUGGGAGGUCAUUAAGGCGUCGGCGGGCCAUUCGCCGCAGAGUUUAUUCUGUGCAGCAUCCAAACCAACUCUGGUCAGUUAACUCCAUAGAUAUUUUUCUUGCAUAUUGAUAUAUUCUUUUGUUGUGUGCUUGAAAUUACUCUGCCAUACAUGCUUAGACAACUUUCUCCUUCCAAAUGAUCUAUUUUUAAUUGUAAAAUAUAAUCAUCUACAUGUUAAAAGCUUGCACAGUCUUUGAAUCAGAAUGGUUUUAGAAUAGGAACAUAUUUGAAAGUCUCGCUCGCGGAUUUAAAAUAAACAAUAAACAGAUUUAUCGGGGUAUUGUUAAGAAUGUGAGAAGGUCCAAUUUUUUUUUUUUUACUGUAGAUAUUUGUAAUUGCAAGGGUCAAUACUGUAAAUAUUGAAUCAGAAUGUUUGUUGAAGUGAUCCUUUUGCCGGUGCGUUAGACGAUUUUUAUAUUGUGAAUGGUCUUAAGUAAGAAUGCUCAUUGGCCACUGUAUAAACCUGCUGUCACUCUGCCUCUGCCCAGGGACUACAGAUGAAAAUUAGCUUGUAGCUAUCUCUGGUCUGUGCAACACAUUUGUUGUGCAAUGUCCCUGUCAAAUAAAUAAAUAAUACUAAAUGUAAUUGUUGUAAAUACAAAUUGGUACAUAGGCCUACAGUAGAUUUG